GUCCUGGGUAGCCUAGUGGACAUGGCAUCUGCCCAGUAAGCGGAACACUGUGGCUUCGAUUACCAUCCCUGGACA
This 75-nucleotide transfer RNA is filed under the name Cordylochernes scorpioides. RNAcentral's name for it is "tRNA-Thr". Lineage: Eukaryota; Metazoa; Arthropoda; Arachnida; Pseudoscorpiones; Chernetidae. The record is from RNAcentral.